CGAGGUCAACCUUUGGAAAAUUGGGGGUUUUACGGCAAGAGUCCCUCCGGAUCCCAGUGCGAGACGUAAAGUUACUACGCAAAGGAGGCUCCGGGAGGGUCCGCCACUACCUUUGAGGGCCUACAUCAGCUGUAGGGCCCCAACACCAAGCAGAGCUUGAGGGUUGAAAUGACGCUCGAACAGGCAUGCCCGCCAGAAUGCUGGCGGGCGCAAUGUGCGUUCAAAGAUUCGAUGAUUCACUGAAUUCUGCAAUUCACAUUACUUAUCGCAUUUCGCUGCGUUCUUCAUCGAUGCCAGAACCAAGAGAUCCGUUGUUAAAAGUUUUGAUUAUUUGCUUGUACCACUCAGAAGAAACGUCGUUAAAUCAGAGUUUGGUUAUCCUCCGGCGGGCGCCGACCCGCCCGGGGGCGGGAGGCCGGGAGGGUCACGGAGACCCUACCCGCCGAAGCAACAGUUAUAGGUAUGUUCACAAAGGGUUAUAGAGCGUA
RNAcentral lists this unclassified non-coding RNA (488 nucleotides) under Colletotrichum siamense. RNAcentral's name for it is "sequence contains 18S rRNA gene, ITS1, 5.8S rRNA gene, ITS2, 28S rRNA gene". The record is from RNAcentral. Lineage: Eukaryota; Fungi; Ascomycota; Sordariomycetes; Glomerellales; Glomerellaceae. RNAcentral also lists the same sequence under 2 other names.